CGUGGUUAACCUGCCCUUGGGACGGAAACACCCCCGGGAAACUGGGGCUAAUUUCCGAUAGGUGAAGGCUCCUGGAAUGGAUCUUCGCCUAAAGGGCGCUUAGGCCAUGCUUCUAGGCGCUGCCCAAGGAUGGGGCCGCGGCCGAUCAGGUUGUUGGUGAGGUAAUGGCUCACCAAGCCUUUAACCGGUUCGGGCCGUGGGAGCGGGAGCCCGGAGAUGGGCACUGAGACAAGGGCCCAGGUCCUACGGGGCGCAGCAGUCGCGAAAACUCCGCAAUACGCGAAGGCGUGACGGGGCUAUCCCGAGUGCCGUCCGCUGAGGAUGGCUUUUCUCCAGUGUAGAUAGCUGGGGGAAUAAGGAGAGGGCAAGUCUGGUGUCAGCCGCCGCGGUAAUACCAGCUCUCCGAGUGGUGGGGACGUUUAUUGGGCCUAAAGCAUCCGUAGCCAGCUGAGCAAGUCCCCAGUUAAAUCCAGCGAUUUAAUCGUUGGACUGCUGGGGAUACUGUCCGGCUAGGGGGUGGGAGAGGCCGACGGUAUUCCCGGGGUAGGGGUGAAAUCCUAUAAUCCCGGGAGGACCACCAGUGGCGAAGGCUGUUGGCUAAAACAUGCCCGACGGUGAGGGAUGAAAGCUGGGGGAGCGAACCGGAUUAGAUACCCGGGUAGUCCCAGCUGU
This 672-nucleotide ribosomal RNA is filed under the name uncultured archaeon. RNAcentral describes it as "bacterial SSU rRNA". It matches the Rfam family "Archaeal small subunit ribosomal RNA", at positions 99 to 754 of the family's 1478-position model. The record is from RNAcentral.